GGUGGCCCUGAUGAUUAAAUAAACCAAGAUUUUACCAUGACUGCAAUUUUAGAGAGACACGAAAGCGAAAGCCUAUGGGGUCGCUUCUGUAACUGGAUAACUAGCACUGAAAACCGUCUUUACAUUGGAUGGUUUGGUGUUUUGAUGAUCCCUACCUUAUUGACGGCAACUUCUGUAUUUAUUAUUGCCUUCAUUGCUGCUCCUCCAGUAGACAUUGAUGGUAUUCGUGAACCUGUUUCAGGGUCUCUACUUUACGGAAACAAUAUUAUUUCCGGUGCCAUUAUUCCUACUUCUGCAGCUAUAGGUUUACAUUUUUACCCAAUCUGGGAAGCGACAUCCGUUGAUGAAUGGUUAUACAACGGUGGUCCUUAUGAACUAAUUGUUCUACACUUCUUACUUGGCGUAGCUUGUUACAUGGGUCGUGAGUGGGAGCUUAGUUUCCGUCCCUUAGGCUCAAAAAGUAGUCCCCGAGUGAGAAGUUAUUUGAACUCGAGUAAGAGCGAUAUCUCAAAUUAGAAGCAAGAGUAGCCCUUAGGCCUUUGUAUUUGGCCAAUCUGACCUUUGUAGAACGAUCGUUUUAACAUAUAUAAGGCUUUCUACCCUUUUCAGUUUUUAAGAUUUUUCUUUCUUUGCUUUGUCAUUCAUGUUCGCAAAGAUUGUAAUGCCUUAGCAUAAAAUAAGGGACUGUUCGAGAGUUCGAACAAUUUUGUACUCUUUAGAGUUUUCGAGGCUUGAUAUUAUCGAAGCCUCUUAUGAUUUCGCUGAAAGGUAGCCCUUUUAACCAGUUUAUAAAAUAAUUCAAAGGCUUGUUUUGUUACGGAAUUCGGACGUCUCCGAGCAGUGUUAAUUUGGCCUUAGCCUCUUUAGUUCGGGAUUUGCCCUUUGGGAUUAGUUUCCCAUUUUACUUCGAGUUUACCCCAAGUGUCAGUCCCCGAGUGGGUGUUCGUGGCCUAUGAAAACCGAGAGUUGCCUAAAGGUCUUAUGACUUCGAAGUUUUGAUAAUUUGAACUCGUUUAUUUUUCGGACGGCAGUCCCCGAUUGUGGGGGUAAUUAUCCGAACUCUAGUUAUGAUCGGCCCUUAGGCCUGUUUACAUAAUAGAUCGAGAGUAUGAAAUUAUAAAAUAGAAGAACUUUUCCAAGGCAUGAGAUAUUGGCAAGGAAAAAUACUUCACUUUAUAAUUGAUUAUACAUGCAUACAUGUUAUGUGCCAGGGUUCAAGCAAACUACGCGGGUACAGUUUGUCUGACCGUUUGUCCCUUACAAAUUUUCGUAUCGAGACCCCGAUGGCAUGACGUAAUUUCCUCGCAACAAAGUUAACAUUCGAGGGUAAUGCCCCCAGUAUUUGAGGUUGAUUGUAAAAAAGCCUUGGAUACUAUUGAACUGUUCUAAGUUAGCACGAUCAAUAGUUUCCUUUAAAAACCUCACCGGAAAACCUAAUUGGGACAAAACCGGUCUAAAGAAAAAAGAGUGCAACACGUGCUUUCGGACCUAAAGAUGUUGCACCGAGUAGGCCAUCGCUGUUUCAGAUCUAAAACCUGUAAAAGUUAGUUUAAAAUUUAAAUGACAAUGGAAGGGGUCGUACCUUAGUAGUAGUAUUGUUUUAGGUGUGAUAUGUUCCAAUUGCUCGGUAGUUGUUCGCCAUUCAUCAUGCUGAGCUUAUGAGAUCCCUUUUCGGUGAUUUCGAUAACCUGGUACAACCCUUCCCAAUACGGACCCAGUUUUCUUUCAUUUGGAUUUUGGGUGUUGAGGGUGACCUUUCUUAGCACCAAAUCCCCGAUGUUAAAAUGUCAAAGAUUAGCUCUUCGAUUGUAGUGCCUUUCAAUUUGCUAUUUUUGAGUGGCCAAUUGGACAAGGGCAGCUUCGCGUCUUUCGUCCAACAAUUCUAGGCUCGUAUUCAUAGUAUCAUUAUAUGACUCUCCUGUUGCAUAUCGAAAUUUGAUGCUGGGUUUUCUGACUUCGACGUGGAUUAGAGCUUCAACGCCAUAAACUAAUGAGAAAGAUGUUGCUCCGAUACUAGAUUUCGAUGUUGUGCGAUAUUCCCUUAGAACUUCGGGCAGUAUCUCUCUCCAUUUACCUUUUGCGCUGGUCAAUCUCUUCUUAAGGUUCUAAAUGAUGGUUUUAUUGGUUGAUUUGGCUUGUUUGUUCCCACUGGGAUGAUAAGGCGUCGAUAGGAUUCUCUUGAUCUUGUGAUCCUCAAGAAAUUUAAUCACUUUGUUGCCUAUGAAUUGCUUUGCAUUAUCACAUACGAUCUCGGAGGGCAUCCCAAAUCGACAUAUGAUGUGAUCCCAAAUGAAGUCUAUGACUUCUUUUUCUCUGACUUUCUCGAAAGCCUGUGCUUCAACCCACUUAGAAAAAUAAUCAAUCAUAAAUAAAAUAAACUGAGCUUUACCUGGGGCCGAUGGAAGAGGGACGACGAUGUCCAUUCCCCAUUUCAUGAACGGUCAUAGGGAUAAGAUCGAAUGUAGCUGCUCCCUGGGCUGGUGAAUCAUUGGCGCAUACAUUUGGCAUUGGUCGCAUCUUCAAACGAACUCCUUUGCAUCCUUCUCCAUAUUGGCCCAAUAGUAUCCUACCCUGAUUACUUUAUGGACCAAUGAUUCGGCACCAGAAUGAUUUUCGCAAGUGCCUUCGUGAACUUCUCGUAAGACAUAAUCGGUAUCUUCUAGUCCCAAACAUAUUGCCAACGGUCCAUCGAACAUCCUUCUAAACAGCAUUCUGUCUUCGGACAAAGUGAACUGUGCUGCCUUUGUGCGUAGAGCUCUCAAAUCCUUUGGAUCUUAUGGGAGUUUUUCAUUCUUAAAGUACUCUAUGUACUUGUUUCUCCAAUAACAGGUCAAACACGUGGAGUUUAUUUCAGUGUGGCCUUUUUCGAUCACCGACCUUAAGAGUUGUACAUCAGUCCCCGAGUUGAGUUUGUCGUCUUCGAUCGAUGAGCCUAGAUUGGAAAGAGCGUCGGCCUCGCUGUUCUAUUCUCGAGGUACAUGUUUCAAGUCCCAUUCCUUAAUUUGAUGUAAAGCCAUCUGUAGUUUAUCUAAGUAUCUCUGCAUUCGAUCUUCUCGAACUUCAAAAGUUUCGUUAACUUGGUUUACCACGAUGAGUGAAUCGCACUUGGCUUCUAUGACCUCCGCUCCCAAGCUCUUAUCUAGUUCAAGACCUGCAAUCAUGGACUCAUACUCGGCCUCAUUGUUAGUCAAUUGUGUAGUUUUGAUAGACUGUCUAACUACACUAUCUGUUGAUGAUUGCAGCACGACGCCUAGUCCGGACCCCUUCGCGUUCGAAGCACCAUCCGUAAAGAGGGUCCAGACCCAUGAAGAUGUACCCGAUUUUAUUAGCAGUUCUUUUUUGACAUCGGGUAUGAGGGUCGGCGUGAAGUCAGUCAUGAAAUCUGCUAGGAUUUGAGACUUGAUGGCGGUUCAGGGUCAAUACUCAAUAUCGUACCCACUGAUUUCAAUGGCCUAUUUGGCCAAUCGACCUAAAAGUUUAGGUUUGUGCAAGAAAUUUCAAAGAGGAUAAGUUGUCACAACACAUAUUUGAUGAUAUUGGAAGUAUGGUUUUAGUUUUCUAGAGGUGCUUAUUAAAGCAAGCGUUAAUUUUUCUAAGUUUGGAUAUCUAGUUUCGGCUCACCUAAGGUCCGACUAACAUAAUAGAUAGGUAAUUGCGUAUCUUGUUCUUCUCAGACCAGGACUCCACAUACCGCUAUCUCUGAGAUGGUCAAGUACAAGUAAAGAUGUUUGUCCACUUUUGAGGUAUGAAGUAGUGGCGGGCUUGAUAGAUACUUUAGUUUUUCCAAGGCUUUCUGGCAUUCCGGAGUCCAUGCAAAUUUGUUCUUCUUCCUAAGCAGUGAGAAGAAUCAGUGACUCCUGUCUGAGGAUCUCAAAAUGAAUCACCUUAGGGCAGCUAUGCGCCCAGUUAACCUCUACACGGCCUUUACAUUAUCUACGACUUUGAUAUCCUCAAUAGCUUUGAUUUUAUCGGGGUUGAUCUCGAUCUCCCGAUUGGACAUGAUCACGCCCAACUUUGCCUUAUAAAAAGGACAAGCGGUCGUUGCAAAUAUAAUGCGAGUAUUUAUCCUAGAGUCGAAUCCAUAGGGAAUUAACCUACCAAUUACUUUUGUCGGACUCACUAAAUUCUUCGUAAUCAACUUCCUAGAUAUUUUGAAUAACAAUUGGUGAUAUUUUUACUAACUAUAACUGAAUAAAUUUAAGUAACUAAAAGCUAACUAUGACUGAGUUGUAAACAAAUAAGAGAAGGAUGUAAGGUUGUGAUUUCCCCUAUUGAUGGAAUCCCUUCCUGUUAUAUUUUGCAUAGACUUGUCUAAUCGUCUUUAUCAAUAAUGAGCACUAUUACUACCGUAAAUCUCUUCUAAGUAAUUAUGACGACUUACUAGAUGCACUAUCCCGAGUUACACUAGCUGACUUUUCUUACAGCUCACUUAGAUCGCACCCAAGGUUUCGUUAUUCCUAAUCCCACCUUUAAACUCUAGGUUAUUGAUUCCUCAUAUACUUUGGGAGUGGUGUUGUUCAACAACUACCUAAUUAUGCACUCUCUCCCGAGUAAUACAUAUUAAAUAGGCACAGCUAAUUGAGGAUCUUAUCAAUUAACUGCAACAAGAACGUAGUUGAGCAAAUAGAGAUUAAACUGGGAAAACUAUAUUAACACAACAAGAAGUUUAUCCCUCAACAGGUUCCAUCAAAACUCUAGACUAAAUAAUUAGCUAAUAAUAGCAAAGCAAAAUAAAAACAUACAUUCAUAAUUCGCAAGUAAUGAUAACAAGAAGAAGAUUCAAAAACCCUAAUGGUGGCUUGAUCUUCUCACACUUGUUCUUGCCUCCAAUUUAGUCUAAAAAAAAUCUUAGCCUCUGCUUGGGCGAGUUUGUUGAGUUUAUAAAGGGUUAGGAUAAGUUUCCCCUGAUUUACACUUUAGUCCCCAAAUUUCUGGGCGAUUACACAGUUGACCGCGGCCGCGGCAGAACGUGGCGCGACCGAGGUGAAAUGCAUCCAUUCUGCCUCACUCGUUUGGCCUACCGCGUUCCAGCCGCGGUCGGCCACGGUCGCGGUGGCCUCAAGUCCAGUCAUCCUUUGCCUUUUUCUUGCUUAUUUUCAUUUGAGCUCUUCUUGAUUGGCCUUAUAUCCACAUUUUUUACUCCAAAACAUUUCAUAGUCUCUUCCUAACUUGGAUUAGUUCCUGCAAAGCAAAAGAACACUAAUUAGAGUAUUUUGUUAUCAUUUUGUAUUUAAAACAACAAUAAAGUAUAGUUCAUUUAGAGUGUAAAUAGAAUCUAUAUAGCCUACUAUUAGGACACCAUGAAGCCGAGAAACUUGCCCGAGCCAAUCUCGAAUACACACUUUUUUGGGCUGAGAUUCUUAUUGUACUUCCUUAGUUUAUCGAAAGUCUCCUUCAAAUGUUUCAAAUGGUCCUCUGCUUACAGGGACUUCACUAGCAUGUCAUCAAUAUAAACUUCCAUAGAUUUUCCUAUUUGUUGUUCGAACAUGUUUACCGUGAAAAUGAUAACAACAAUUGAAUUUGUAAAUGGAAUUUUAAAUAUACGUGAUCUAUUUUUAUGUUAGUUGUUAGAACAGUGAUGCUAAGAAUAUGAAGUUUGACGAUAAAAUACAAGCUAAAAUGGGGCAGUGAUCUAACCAAGGGGCCUGCUGCCCUGACUUCGGAAUGGUCGAUGGAGGACCUCGAGAUUGAUAUCUGGGCUCAAUCUCGAACUAUAGGGGGUAGUCAGGAAUGGGAUAACAGUUAAGAUAUGAUUGAACAAGGCUUUUUAGGGCCAAUACCAAGCAAUAAAUGAAGAACAAGCGAGAGAAUAGUAAAUGCUCGAGCGGCGUCGAGCUAAUAAGGACGAGCAAGUUAGAGAGAAGAAAGAGAGAGAGAUGUUAUUGAUCUUGUGGAGAAAUAGUUGGAGCAACAUCAGCCCCUUACAAAGUAGUGUGGGUUCCUUUUAUGUAGGAGGGGAACCCGGCUAUAGUACAACAUCUAUCAAUUGUAAAGCAUGGAGAUGGGACGGCGAGAUGCGACGCUUCGGCAUAGGAUCUGGAUUGGCCGGCUCUGUCAGAUUUUAGUCAUGUGCCUUGGGAGCUUUCCUUUCUACUCUAGCCUCGACCUUCGUCUUCUUCGAGUCGAGUCCCAACAAUUCCCAAGGGAGGGGACUCGGUCGCGGCUCCACGUCCUCGGGGUCUCGAGGCAUUCUUCCAAAGUGGCUUGAUAGCGAGGAAUUAUGUCCUCUAAUUUCACUGCAUACAGAUAGUCUCCGCGUUUCCCAGAAAAAAGCGAUGGGAAAUGAUUCUAACACCUGACUUCAUAAGCUUCUUACAGCGACGUCGUACCAAUGAUGCAACCUGUGGCACGAGCUUUUGUGGCAACUGGGGUAUCCCAUGGAUUUGUGCAUUUUGACAUCAUUCAAUGCCCUGUCGAUUCCUGUCCUCCGAGAUGAAUGUACUGUCAUCGAUUUGGUUCUUCAAGAAUGCAGUAAUUGUACUCGCUGGUCAAUAUUCCAAAGCCUCGAUGACCGUGUCAUUACCCCCUAUAAAUGGGGGUGCCUUGGCGUUGUUUUUUCUAUCCCAGUACCUUCGUUAGUUCAUUUGCCCAUUUAUUCUCAUCAUCUUCUUCUACACUUGAACAUUAUGCUUGAGGUUCAUGGCCUCAAGGCCGUUUGGCAGAGCUCCCGUAGGUUGUGUUGCGGCCUCCUGCAAGAACUUCCCUUUUGUCGAGCAUGACCAAGUUGUCCUGUCGCUGCUAUGGUUGUCGUUAAGUUUGCCACUGCUGUUGCCAUUGGCUCGAGAUGAUGAUGGACGGGAAGUUGGUUUUCCCCUUAUGUAGACAGUCAUUCGGACUAUGCACUGUUGCUCAUUCUCCUACCUAGGCCUGGUGUGGCACUUCAUCCCUUGGGUUUUUCCUUUCCCAAGGGAUAAAAUGGCACUACCGGUCGUUGAGGCUGGGGCCCACCAAAUCUUCAACCUCUGGCUUUGGCGGGCCAUGUCUUUUUUCUCUGCCUCCUCCGCAUCCCCUCCUUUUCCUCUUCUUCAUCUUUUACCUCGGUGGGACCCCUCGAGGGAUCGACUGGGAACCUGGAGGAGGUGGCAGCCGAAGCAAUCGCCCUCGAGGAUGCGUGCUCGAGGGAGCGACACUCGGGGAUGCUGAUACCGGUGAUGGGCCUUCGAGGAUGGAUUGGGCUCUUGGGUUUCAUCAUAUGUACAUCCUUCCGUUCCUCCAUUUUUGUGUAGAGACCGUCUGUAGGCUUUUGUAAUUGUAUGUAAGGACCACUCGAGAGAUGUUGUACAUGGAUAUUUAUGAAUAUGAAGAUAUUUACUUGAUUUCUAUUUUCGAGUCUUGCCUUAUUAUUGUAUGCUCUCGUGCCCUUCGAGGACUUUGAAUGUUUUCCUUUGUCGUUGAUUGUUGAUAUCUAACUCGGACAAGAGCGUUCUUUUCGAUCUUCUACCGAUUGACAUGGCUCUUUCCCGAGUCCAUUAUCAUACCUUGGACCAAGCCUGAAUUGUUCAGAUAGACCCAAGCUGUCGGGCCCUUCGGGUUGCAUGGAUAGUUCACUGAGUUCCGGAGCCUUCGAGAGUUGUAUCUUGAGCGAGGGUCAACUUCGGGUACCCAGAGGUCAGUUUGAAACUUGACGCAGAUAGCCCUUUUAAAGCGUAGUGUAUAGACCUCCUUUGAGGGAUUGCCUAUACUUAGGCGAUGCAUCGAGCCCUCCUACAGCCUUCAUGAUCGGAGCUUUGUAUGUUUAUUUUUCUUUUUAGGAAGAAAAAUAAUGAGAUCGAGUACCGCCUCGAGUUUUAUGACGGCGUUAAAAGCUUCCCAAAGCCUGACUUCUUUUUUGUCUGAAAUCCUUGAGGUCGGGCACUACCUCGAGACUGGAGACAAUACAGUUGAAUCCAUAAGGCCUGACUUCUUGUCGAUGGACGGCUCUGAGGUUGGGUACCACUCCGGGAUCUACAUCGAGGUUGUUGGCCUCCCGAGGCUUACCCUAGAUAGGCGAAUCAUCACCGCUUCCUGCAUAUAUGUGGGGUGGCUUUUAUUUCCUUGGGAGAUCUCAUUAUUCUGGAUAGUUAUCCCUCCGCCUUGGCAUCGGGUCCUUUGUCUCUUCAAGCGCAAAAAGCGUUGGAGCACGUCUUAGCCUUAGUCUGUCAAUUCCACCAUAGUCAUGGCAGCUACUUCGGGGCCGGGCCGGUAGGGAGGGGAGAGUCCUACUCCCAGCGUUCGUGCUCCGUGGGAGUUCACUCUGAAGACUGUGUUUUUGAUAAGAGAGGAACAUCUGGAGAUGGUGAGGAGAUACAUCGAAUGGAGAGAGGGGAUCCACAGCAGAUGCUUUCCCCGGAUGAGAGUAUUACGGACUCUGUUGAUGGAUUCUUGAAUGUAUACCUAUAUCCCUUCACAUUUGGCCCCCUUGACGGGGUUGUGCUUGACUUCUGCUUGGAGAAUCGGGUUACUAUGGCGCAGAUACACCCGUCUUUCUGGCGAGUGGUAUUGAUGAUGAGGUUCUUUGUGGAGAAGGUUGGGCUUGAAUUCACGCUUAGCCACCUCGUCAGGCUGUACCGGCCCUUUCAUCACCUAGGUCUGUUAACCUUACGGUGUCGUUCGUCUAUGCCUUUUUGUCACGACCCAUUCCCGAACCUGGUCAUGAUGGUGCCUCUCAUGAAGCUAAGGCCAGCCAUUCAACCCAAUUCAUCCUUUUAAGACAAUUAAUUAACACAAUAAUAGUAUAAACAUGGUUUAAUAAUAUCCAAUAGCGGAAAGUAUAGAUAAAAUACCGAAAACCAACCCGACUCAGCCCUAACCGGGGUGUCACAAGUCAUGAGCUACUACAGAGUUUACUAAAAUUCUACAAAGUAUGGAAUUAGGAACAAAGUCUGAAGAUAUCAUAAAUAACANNNNNNNNNNNNNNNNNNNNNNNNNNNNNNNNNNNNNNNNNNNNNNNNNNNNNNNNNNNNNNNNNNNNNNNNNNNNNNNNNNNNNNNNNNNNNNNNNNNNNNNNNNNNNNNNNNNNNNNNNNNNNNNNNNNNNNNNNNNNNNNNNNNNNNNNNNNNNNNNNNNNNNNNNNNNNNNNNNNNNNNNNNNNNNNNNNNNNNNNNNNNNNNNNNNNNNNNNNNNNNNNNNNNNNNNNNNNNNNNNNNNNNNNNNNNNNNNNNNNNNNNNNNNNNNNNNNNNNNNNNNNNNNNNNNNNNNNNNNNNNNNNNNNNNNNNNNNNNNNNNNNNNNNNNNNNNNNNNNNNNNNNNNNNNNNNNNNNNNNNNNNNNNNNNNNNNNNNNNNNNNNNNNNNNNNNNNNNNNNNNNNNNNNNNNNNNNNNNNNNNNNNNNNNNNUCAUGUAUUUAACUCAUAAAACUUACCUCCAAUCGAUCUUAGUUAAAACUCCCUUCAAUCCCCGUCCAAAAGCUCUCAAAAUGACUAAAAAUGGUGGAGAAAUGGGGUGUUUUUCGCGAAUGAAAUGUAAACAUUCUGCCCAAAAUUCACGAAUACUGUUACGGAUACUGUUCACGACACUAUUCAUGGGUACUGUUACGGGGCACUGUUCAUAACUACUGUUCACAGUGCUGUAAAAAAAUGCAGCAACCUUAUUUUUUUCGUGCCUAAAUCGAUCCGUUAACCUUCCGAAAUACACCCGAGGCCCCCGAAACCUCAACUAAAAGCACCAACAUGUCUUAAAACAUUAUCCAAACUUGCUCCAAUCGUCAAAACACCUCAACUAACGCCAAAAUCAUCAAAUUAUAUCGAAUUCAAGCCUAAAUUCUUUUAAAACUUCUAAAACACACAUUCGAUCAAAAAUCCGACCAAACGAUGUCCGAAUGACCUGAAAUUUUGCACACAUAUCCCAAAUGACACAAUGAAGCUACAACAACUCUCGGAAUUUCAUUCCAACACCCGGAUCAAAAUCUCACCUAUCAACCAGAAUUCGCCAAAAUACUAAUUUCGCCAAUUCAAGCCUAAUUCAACACCGGACCUCCAAAAUUACUUCCGGUCCUGCUCCUAAGUCACAAAUCACCUCCCAAAACUAACCGAACCGUCGAAAUUCACAUCCGAGCCCUUUAACUCAUAAGUCAAUGUCCGGUUGACUUUUCCAACUUAAACCUUCUUAAAAGAGACUAAAUGUCUCAUUUCUUAUCAAAAUCGCUCCAAAUAAAUUCUAAUGCACCCAAUACCGAUAAUGAAACAUGAGAAAGCAAAAAAUGGGACGAACGAGACAGUAACUCAUGAGACGAUAGGUCGGGUCGUCACACUUUUGUUGUCGAUGAUAGAGAAGAUGGGGACCAAGAGUGGGUCAGUCGAUUCAUCUGGGUUCGGACGGCUGACAUUAUCCCCGUGGAGCUCUUGCCAUUUCCUGAGGGAUGGAAUUACGUGCGUUAGUGGGGUGUCUUGCGCUCCUUUUGAUUUGCUCAUAGUUUAAGCCAGUUGGAUAAUCGUGUCUCUUCCUGUUUUGCAGCAACUUCAUGGACGCCGGGAAAAUUUCUCGAUCUGCCCGACUGGGUACGGAGGUUGGCGACCCAUUCGACUUGCAAUGAGCGUAGGUGGCGAGCUGUGUUCCGCGACAGAUAGGGAACGAAAUGCUAGGGUAUACACGUACGCUGCUCCUACCUUUACCUUUGUAUAUUUGAGAUGACAUUUCCAUCUCUCUUUGAUACCGGUUUUGCUGUUGCAGGUAUCGGGCGGUUAUUUGGGGUGAGGUUGCGCUCCUCCGAAGAGGGGAAGGAGUCGCUAGCCUCUGAGUUGAGGAAUGAUGGCGAUAAACAGGAUUCGCACCCGCGUUAUGAUGGAGCUUUGAAUGGGGCUCAACGGGCCCGUGUCUUCGAGGAGAGGACAUUGCCAGAGCAUGCUGUCCCCGGAGUGUUUGGUUCUAGAAUGGUGGUUCCUCCAAGCAAAUAUAUUUUGCUUGGGGUUAAUUCUUUUAGGGCCGAAGGGGCAGGAUCGACAGGAGUGUGCUCUACUUUCGAGGAAGUCUAUCGGCUUCACUUCAUAGUGAGUUUUGGCGCAGUCCUUCUGUAUUUCACGUCUUCCUUUCUUUAUCGAUUUUUUCUUUUGUAGGCCUUUGAUAGGCUCAGGUCUAAGUUGCUCUGUCAUAGAGCUAGGCUUCAAAAAGCUCUAGACGAGGGUGAGUCCCUUAGGCUUCUUAGCGAGGAGAAGGAGGCUGAGUUGAUGCACUGGCGAUAUGAGGCAUUUUGGAUCUCAAAUUACGAGAGCUUUUUGAUGGAGCAGGUAACCUUCUAUAGUACACUCUUCACUCUUUUUGACCCUUAAGGUUAAUCCUUUUUCCUAUCUUAGCUGCAGAAAAAGACAGAGGCCUGGAAGUACUUUAAGGGCGAAGCCGGCCGCAUCAGGAAUACUUGCGGUGAACUGAGGGCACAGGUGCAGGAUCAAGCUUUAGAGGAGAGAGGCGCCUUGGCCAAGGUCCCCGCCUUCGAGAACCCAACUCCGCUUGGCUCGUGACAAUGCUACAGUUCAAGCGGAUAUGAUUAGGAAGCUCGAUUCCGAUCCCUUGAAGAUCAGGACUAAGAUAAUCGAUGCCCGGGCUGAAGCAGCAUUAAGUCAAACCAAGGCUGAUUAGGAGAUGGCAAUUCCUAUGAAGGACGCUGCUAAUGCCCAAGCCGAGUUGAAGCGGGCCCUCGACCGUGAGAAGAGGAUCGAGGAAUAUGUUCGUUGCAGAUCCCAAAGAGAGGUACUCGAGGAGAUCGGCACUAGGGGCUUCGUUUUCUCGGAGGAGUUGGCUCGAUCCAGGGCGGAUGAGCGCGAUGUUUGGUCCCUUCUUGCUGACGUUAUGGAGAGUGAAUCUAGGGCUGGAAGGUUAUAACCUUUUGGAGCGGAGUGUAGAUUUCUUUAUACUUUGAUAUUUGCAGAGCAUGUUUGUAGAUGGAGAGCACGCCUUUUGCAUAUAUAAAUAAGAGAAGACUUGAAGUUUUGUCUUUUUUGUAUCUCUUUCUUCAUUGCUUUUGACCAGUCAGGCUAGUUUCGAUGUCUCGCGGGAGCCUUGUGGAUCCGGAGCUUACUAGAUAGGCCCGGAGGCUCUUAAGUACGUUUUCUAACGUGAGUAGCCGUCAGGGCCUUAGCACUUUGCCCAGCUGUUUAGGCCUAGUCUCCGAGUUGGGCCCUGAUUCGAGCUUACAUGUCCUCCGAUCUCCCGUUCCUGCAUGGGCUGAUGGUGAUUGUCCUUAUUCCUUGCCCGUGGGCAUUUGUGUUCCAACUAUUAAAUCGACCCUCAAUUUUUUUCAUGCCUUCAUAGGGGGGCGACGAUGGCCCUUGUGCUUCAAGUCGAAGCGACCUUCUAUGUGUGUGGCCCGGAGGCUUGUUCGGCUGGCGAUAAUGGCUCUUACACUUUUGCCCGUGGGCAUUUUGUAGUAACUAUUUUGGAUUCGGUAUCCGAAUCGGGUUACGACUCGAGCUCACUUUAAUCCUCAAGUUUUCAAUUUUCAGACUGGUGACGGUGACUCUUACGUUGUUUGGUCAUUGAGACCUUUUUAGUGUGCGGUCCAAAGGCUCGUUUGGCUGGAGACAAUGGCUCUUACACUUUUGCCCGUGGGCAUUUUUGUAGGUUUUGUUUUCCUCUAGUUAAGGUCUUUUUUUUUAAAUGAUUUUGCUUGACCCGUCGUCGGUUCUAGAAGAACCUCGAUUUCAAGUAGUUAGUGGCGAUGUUCGAGCACCUCGUAAGGUUUUUAUCUCGUAGGCAGAGUAGCUCGAAGCCUUGUGUUUUUGGAGCUGACAUGGUUGAAGCAUGUUUGCCUGUUGAGGGAAGCCUGUUUUAAUCGGUUCUUUUCGAAGUAUAUUUGAAGUAAUGGCCUGUGAUUUUGUUAGCGACAAUUGGGCGUCCCUGAGUCACGUUAAUUUGGCUGGAGCAACCAUUUUGACCGUAGUUAUAUGUGUUUGGCCAGAGCCAUUUUUUUAUCUUGAGUGAUAGUUUAGGCGUCUACACCGAGGGUAUGCCCUUUCAGGAUUCUUACAAAUGCGAUGUAUAGCCUAAACUUCAGGAUUGAGUUUUAUGCCUGUAGAAAGGUCUUACAAAAUUUGCAUGCCUGUUGAGGUCUUACAGUUUGUCAUGUUGAGGUCUUACAGUUUGUCAUGCCUGUUGAGGUCUUACAGUUUGUCAUGCCUAUUGAGGUUUUACAGUUUGUCAUGCCUGUUGAGGUCUUACAGUUUGUGUUUCUAUGUAGAACAGGUCUGGUUGUACCGAGUCUGCCCGCUCGGGGUCUUACAGCUUCGGGUUUUCCAGUGUUAGGUGAUUGGAGAUAGUCUCCGAGUUAUUGAAUUUGCUUCGGCUCGAAGGCCGUUAUUCGUGAGCUCGGAGUUACCUUGAUGAGGCUUUAUGAGCCCGGAGUUCCGACCCUAGGGUCGUGUAGGUGCCAAAUUAUUAACGCUAAGUCUCCGAGUAUUUUGAGACGCAUUUGGUGGGGGAACUCCUACCGAGGGUGUGCUGAAAUUCCUUUUAUUGGAGAGUGAGAUACUGAAAGAUAUUCUUUUAUUGCUUGUUGUAAACACAUAUCGUUUCAUUGUUGUGAGCUCAGCCCGCGCGGGCGCGGCUCCUUGGACCAUUUGGCCUGGUACACAAUUCCCUAUUGAGGCUCAGUCUGUUGUUCCCCAGUCCUUCCGAGCGGACGGCGCCUUUAAAAAAAGGGGGGUGUCCUUCAUCGUUUGAUUGUAGAAGAAGGCCUGUGAUCUUGUCAGAUCCUCCUCAAGGGUACGUUGCUUCGCUAAGUACCUUGCUGGCGAGACCCUCUUUGGGGCGGAAGUCCGGCCGAGGGGAAAGAGCGUGGCGGUUGCUAUUAAGGCCUUGAGGUCUCCGAGCAGAGUUAGAACUCCCGAAUUCCCUGACCCGAUGUCUGCAUACAGGUUAGUGAAAAAUAACGAAGGAGGGAGGUAGUUUUUCUUUACCGCGAGAUGCGUAGGCGAUGUGUCAUGUGAUACGGGAUUUCCCCUUGUCGCAUAUUGCCUCCUGCCGACGGUUUUAAUUUCGUCCCUCGUGUGGGAUUUCAUCUUUUUGGCAAAGUAGGGGCAGACCUGUCCUCGGGUGAUGCACCCGUGGUUGCCUGGAUAAUAUGUCUAUGCCUUGUACCUCCCUUGAUGACAUUGAACUCGGCGUUCCGACCUGGGCCAGUCAUGCCGUACAGAGAAAAUGGUCUUUCUUCUUGUCGUAGCGAUCGCCGUUUGGAAUCUGUCAAAGAUUCGAGAGGUGGUUGUGUUUUAACCCAGCGGUCCGAGCCGCCCCAUCAUCCUUGGCCUAUCAGUGCUGAUCGAGCCACCUGCACUCAUGUGCAAAUGUUUUAUUUAAAACGGAUUGAGUGAGGAAGAAAGUUACCAGUGCGUAAUUGCGAGGUCGAGACGAGGUCUCGGUACCCUCGUUGUUGGACGUAAGGGCGUCCUUGGGGGUAUAUCCCCAGAUCUGCCUUUUUCUGGUGGCGAAAAAUUUUGCUUUCCCUUUUACAAGUCCUUGGAAAGGGUCAUCGCUCCUCCAUUAUUAUGGUAGUAUGUUGCGGCCUGCUUGCUUCAUUCCUACCGGACGCCUUCCAUACUGGGGAGGGAAAUUAAAUUUGUUCACUCGUCAGUUAUCGGGGGUGAUUUUUGUCAAGCAGCUUGGCAUCUUUCCUUCGGAGCUGAUGGUUAUCUUCGGCCUCGCGGCCGCACUUGCUAUGUAGUUCUCGUGUCAAGCUGUGAUUCCUUUGAGGGAAAUUCGGCCGAGUAGGUCCGAACCAUUUGACAUCCCUGAUUUCGCCUACGGUAAAUGCGAUGUUUGAUAUAUGGAUGUGGAAAUUGUAUUCUGACGGGCAAGGCGCCCUUACCGACCAUGCGCCCUCAUCGAAUUUGGCUUUGUCGUUGAUUCCUCGAGGAUGUUGCCCUCGGGCCAUUCUCCGAUCGUUGCGAGGUAGAUAGCAUCUCGGGGCGUCCCUCUUGUCUGCGGCGCACGGGCGGUACCUUAUUCUGUUUGGCAUUGGUUUCUUUGCCAGGAGCCUAUUUGAGUAAAGUGAGCCCGAGGGGGCUUCCGGAUGGCCAUCCAUGACCCUGAUUUGUGACCGAUGCCGGGUACGGGCACCCGACCAGGUCUUGGCUGGGUACCUGGUCAAUUUUUGUUUGAACUGCCCUGAGAUUGUCGGUGUUGGGCUGUUUAGGCUAUAAGUGAAGGCCUGUGUUGCCCAUUCAUCCGAGGUCGGGGGAAUUCUCGUUCGUUCCACCAGGGAAUAAGGUGUGAAUUCCUAUGGCAUUUCAUUCUCCCUUUGUUCGGCCCUGGUUAUGUUGGGCUUACUUCGAUGGUAUUUGUGUGCGUCUUUACGGGGGAAUCUGCCGGUAUGGUAGGCGAGUUUAUAGGAUCGGACGCUAGGUUAUGACGCCACACCAUGGUUCCUUUCGAAAGUGUUUCCCCGAACCUCUUCGAUAAGGCGGGCUUGAACUCAUCAUCCCUUGGGUCAUUGCCUUUUCUCGCGCAUGUAUAGGCGGUGACGUGUUCGUUUGGAUCUGAGGUCCCGUUGUACUUAUGGAGCUCUGUGUUCUGGACUUCUUUGAAAUAGGUUCUGGGGCCUCUUCCUCGGGGAACGGCCAUUGCACGAACUUCCUCGAAUCUACACCUUUCGGGACUGGGGGUGCGCCCGGGAUUUGGUCAACUCUAAAGUUAUAGGUUUCGACCUUCUUAUCGUUGGCUGUUAUCAUUUUCUCGCCUGACUCAAUCCUUUUGGUGAGAUCCUAGAGCAUCUUUGCUAUGGCAGGGUCGGCUACCGAUCCGUUACUACUUGAUAUCUCAGGUACUUGCUCGGUGGGGGGAGUUGUUUCCGGCGCCGCUGUGCUGGGNNNNNNNNNNNNNNNNNNNNNNNNNGUGUGAGGUUUCGUCGACUUGCUGAGCGCCUUCGCAAAACCGCAUCCACGGGAACUGGUCCAGGUACGUUAUCAGGGUUCUACGGUGGCGCGCCAAUGACUGGUUCAACCAUACCGUUUUCUCCAUGAUUUUCAAGGUUGCCAUUCUCGACUCUAUUUACCGAGCCAGACAUUUUGACCUAAAAUCAAGAGAUCUUGGACAAGAAAAAGUGUGAAAGAUAACUUGAGUUUUUGUAAUGGAACCAGCAAGAAAAUAAUCACUAUUAUUUUUAGCCCCACGGUGGGCGCCAAACAGUUUACCGUGAAAAUGGUAACAAUAAUUGAAUUUGCAAAUGGGAUUCUAAACAUACGUGAUCUAUUUUUAUGCUAGUUGUUAGAGUAGAUGAUGCUAAGAAUAUGAAGUUUGACGAUAAAAUACAAGCUAAAACGGGGCAGUGAUCUAACCAAGGGGCCUGCUGCCCUGACUUCGAAAUGGUUGAUGGAAGACCUCGAGGUCGAUAUAUGGGCUCGAUCUCGAACUAUCGGGGGUAGUCGGGAAUGGGAUAACAGUUAAGAUAUGAUUGAACAAGGCUCUUUAGGGCCAAUACCAAGCAAUAAAUGAAGAACAAUCAAGAGAAUAGUAAAUAUUAGAGUGGCCUCGAGCUAAAAAUGACGAGCAAGUUAGAGAGAAGAAAGAGAGAGAGAGAGAUGUUAUUGAUCUUAUAGACAAAUAGUUGGAGCAACAUCAGCCCCUUACAAAGUAGUGUGGGUUCCCUUUAUAUAGGAGGGGAACGCAGCAAUAGUACAACAUAUAUUAAUUGUAAAGCAUGGAGAUAGGACGGCGAGAUGCGACGCUUCGGCAUAGGCUCUGGAUAUGCCGGCUCUGUCAGAUUUUAGCUGUGUUCCUUGGGAGCUUCCCCUUCUGCUCUAGCCUCAACCUUUGCCUUCUUCGAGUUGGGCCCCGACGAUUUCUGAGGGAGGGGACUUGUUCGCGGCUCCACAUCUUCGGGGUCUCGAGGCAUUCUUCUCAAGUGGCUUGAUAGCGAGGAAUUAUGUCCUCUAAUUUCGCCACAUACAGAACAUUCGAUUUACUAGGCGUUGAUAGGUUGCACCAACAAUUUUUAAUCCGAAUGGUAUUACAUUAUAACAGGUGCCAUACUUUAUGUUGAACGAGGUCUUUUCCUGGUCCUCCAGGUUCAUCUGUAUUUGGUUGUGCCUGGAGUAGGCAUUGAGGAAACUGAAAGCCUCGUGGUCGGUCGUGGCAUCGAUCAUAUGAUCGAUGUUAGGCAAGGGAAAAGAAUCCUUGAGGCAUGCUUUAUUCAGGUCUUUAUAAUCUAACGCAUUCUAAGUUUAUUUCCCUUCUUAGGGACUACCACUACGUUUGCUAACCACUCGGGAUACUUUACUUCCUGAAUGGAUCCUAUUUUAAGAAGUUUGGUUACCUCAUCUUUAAUGAAAACAUCCUUUAUCUCGGACUGAGGCCUCUUUUUUUGUUUCACCAGGUAGAACUUCGGUGGGAUACCUGUCAUAUCGAUAUGGGACCAGGUAAAACAAUCCAUAUUAGCUUUAAGAAAUCGAAUAAGUUUUUUCCUGAGCUCGGGAGAUAACCCCAUGCCCUGGUAUACCUUUCGAUCGGACAAAUGCUUAAUCAGUAUGAUUUGUUCUAGCUCUUCGACCAUUGAUUUUGUGGCGUCAAAAUCAACGAGGAUUAUGAAGGAUUGAGGUAUCAUACAAUCAUCAUCCUCGUAAGUUCCUUGCUCCUCCGGUCAGGUCGAGGGUGGUGGAUGUGGUUGCUAUUUGGCCUAUUACUUUCCCUUUGAAUCUGAUCCCUUUGUUGAAGAAAGUGUUGAUACUUAUAUCACUUCAGCGAUUGCAAACAUCUCUUUGGCGAAAGGUUGUUCCUCGUACACUAUUUCGACUCCCUCCUAUAUCGGGAACUUAAAAACUUAGUGAAGGGUCGAGGGUACUACCCUCAUGUUAUGGAUCCAAUGUCUUCCGAGCAGUGCAUUGUACCUCAUGUUACCCUCGAUCAUAUGGGACUUUGUUUCUUGGAUGGUCCCCGCCAUGUUUACCGGUAAUUUCACCUUUGGUGGUUUCGCUUUCCAUAUUGAAGUUGUUAAGUACUUGGGCUGCGGGCACAAUUUGAUUUUUUAGGCCGAGUCGUUCCACGACCCUCGCUCGAAUAAUGUUGGCCGAGCUACCUGGAUUAAUCAACACACAUUUAACUUGAAUUUUACUCAUAAAUACAAAUAUUACUAGUAUGUCAUUAUGAGGUUGUUCGAUCCCUUCUGCAUCCUCGUGAUUAAAAGACAAGGUUUCUUCUAGUAAGUAGUCUCGAGUUCACUUUUCCCUUGUGAUCAUCACCUUAGUGCAUUUAAAUACUGAUCCUUGACGAACAUCGACCCCUCCAACGAUCAUGUGAAUCACGUGUUAUGGCUCUUCUUUCUCGUUUUGUUUGUUUGAAUCUCUAUUUUUAAAGUGGUUCUUGGCCCGAUCACUUAAGAAUUCUCGAAGAUUCCCCUCAUUGAAUAAUUGAGCUACUUCCUCCCUUAGCUGCCUGCAAUAUUCUGUUUUAUGACCAUGGGUGCCAUAAUACUUGCAUAUUUGGUUUGGAUUUCUCUGAGCCUAAUCGGUCUGCAGAGGUCAAGGCUACCUGGUAUCUUUGAUACAUCCAAUGGCCAACACUAUGGUGGAAGCAUCUACGUUGAAGUUAUAUUCUGACAAUCAAGGUUCUUCUUUGGACCCGGAAACUCUAUCGAAACCAUUCUUGCUCAUGAGUCCUCUAGAGCUCUAUCCUCAAUCGUUCCUUCUAUCAUUCCGAACGGGGUUGCGUCCAGGACCGUUAUUUCUCCGAUCUCCGCCGUAUGGAUGAUAUCGAUCUCUGUUCAACCAUGGAUCCCGAUCAAUGUCCUUUUUAACUCUGUAGACGGGCCUACUCGGCUAAACUGACCCAAAAGGAUCCCCAACUGGUCAUCUUCGACCCUAAUCUUUGACUGUUAUCGAUUAUGUACAUCGUUCUAAAUGACAGCUAGAUAUUUGAUUAAAUUCUGCUUUAAUUAUUGUGAAGUUAUGAAACUCCGAUCGUUAAGACCUUGAGUGAAGGCUUGAACAACUUAAUUGUCGAUGACCGGUGGAAAAUCCAUCUGCUCUAUUUGGAAUCGAGAUACGAAUUCCCUGAGCAUCUCGUUGUCUUUUUGUCUUACCUUCAAAAGUUCCGACUUUCUUGCAGCAACCUUAAUGGCUCCGGUGUGUGCCUUUGCAAAAGAAUCUGCAAGCAUAGCAAACGAGUCAAUAAAAUUAGGUGGUAAAUUAUGAUACCAUAUCAUAGCACCCUUUGAUAGAGUCUUCCCAAACUUCUUCAGCAAUAUGGAUUCAAUCUCGUCAUCUUCCAAGUCAUUUCCCUUGAUAGCGCACGUGUAUGAGGUGACGUACUCGUUUGGAUCUGUUGUUCCGUUAUACUUUGGGAUCUCGGGCAUACGAAACAUCUUGGGGAUUGGAUUCGGAGCCGCACUCAGGGGGAAAGGUUUAUGUGCAAACUUUUUGGAAUCUAGUCUUUUCGAUAUCAGUGGUGCCCCCGGGGAUUUGGUCGACCCUGGAGUUAUAAGUUUCCACUUUCUUAUUGUUUUCCUCGAUCUUCUUUUCCCCUGUCUCGAUUCGCUUUGUCAGUUCCUCGAGCAUCUUUACGAUAGCAGUCUUCGAUUCUCCUCAACUCGAUCUCUUUGGCACCGAUUCGACUCUAUGAACAACUUCUUGUGAUGGCUCGAGCUCGAUCCUGCUUGGUGCACGAUUCUGAUUUUAGAGUUGUGAUAUUGCAGCUUGUUAAGUUUGCAACAUUUCGAAUAUCAUUCGAAGGCUAAUCCCGCAUUCUUCACCACUCUGUGCGUUCUGAUCGGCUGUUCAAGCAUCUCUGCGGAUGUUAUUUUCAGGAUCGACGCCCAAAUUUCCAUUAAUGGCAAUAUGGGAGCUGACGUCGAUUAGGUCCACAACCGGAGCUCCAUCGGGGUUGACUGGUGGUACUCUAUUUCCUGGGGCGGCUAUGUUUUUGUUCUCGCCAUAAAGACCAAGGCCAUUAUCUGUGUGUGUGGGUGUCACUUGGGAGUUUGACAUGUUGAUCCUGGAAUCAAAGACACUUCAUAGAACAGGCAUAAAAUAGUGUGCAUUAUAAAAAUUGUACCAGGCAAUCACUAUUAUCAUUAACCCCACGGUGGGCGCCAAACUGUUUACCCUUAAAAUUGGAUAACAAUUAAACUUAUACAUGGUUUUAAGGAUAUGUGAUUUCACUUGGCAUAAACUGAUAAAUAUGAGAAUUAAUAUUAGAGAUUAGCAGUAAAAUAAAACAAACCAAUGGGAUGAACAAUUGUGGCCCUCGAGCUAAACUGCCCUCGAACCAACUAAGUAUGCUAUUGAAAAGUAUGAACUGAACAAUAGAGCUUGCGAGAGAAAAAAUGUAAUGCAUUGAUUGGUUAUGUGUGAAUAUAUGAUUACAAAAUGAUUAUGACCCUCUUUAUAUAGUAGAGGAAUCCUAUUUAUGGUAUAAUUCUAAUUACAAAAGGAAAUCCCAUGAUUGGAUAAAUGUCCGGUCUUGACUUGACACGUGCCGAGAUUUUCGCCAUGAUCCUUGCCCGAUCACGGAUAUCUUGGCUUUCUGUUAUUCAAUCUAGCAGGCUUCCUUCGGUCUUGCUCGAUCUCUUUCUCGCUUCCGUCUCGAUCACGGCUGGUCUCAAUCUUGAUCGGUCAUUGAUCCACGAGCUUACCAAUCCAUCUCCGUACCAUGGUCCGAUAUAAUCGAGGCCGAGCCUUAAUCUGCCAUCCCGAUUUCGGUUAGUCAUACAAAAUUAGGCAAGCUCGAUUUUGACAGUAUAUUAACUUUAUAAUCUGGCUAAGUUUGAUUACUCAUGAUUUAGAUAUAUGGGGUUCUUUUUAUUAAUCUUUGCAGUUUGCACUAUGAUUCUCGCUAGAUGUGUAAUUUACGCACGUAAUGAAUAUUUUUAGAGUUUUUUAUUUUUAUUUUUUUGCUCAACCACCCUCCUUAUGGUGGGGUAAUAGACAUCAAAAGUUGUAAUUCGGUAUGGUUGCAGAAACCUUGCUUAGUUUUUAGGUGUGCAAGCUGCAAAGUAAACCAAGUUUAGAAGGAUUUUUCCGUAUUAAUAACCCAAAGAUUUAAGAUAAGAACUCUUUCUUAAACAAUUUUAAUUUAUAAACUUUGAACAAUUUUAGUUUAUUGCUCGACGAAACUUAGAAACGUGCAAAAUAACCCAUGUGACAUACGGGUUCGGCCUUCACGAACUAGCUGCCUAGGUAGGGUUAGUUGGUUUCUUGGUCAAAAGAUCUCAAACUGUAAUUUCUAGCCACGACUGCUAGGUGAUUGGAGCACAUGGUCACAACUCACGAUAUCAUACUCAUCUUUUUCCACUUUAUGUGAUACUAUAUUACCAUUAUUAGCAAAAAUCAAACAAAGAAAUUUUAUCACGUUUUUUGUAAAUAUUUUGAAUUAUAAUAUACUAUUGUGACUUUAGUACUUCUAAUUUAGUUUCUAAACAUAAAUAUUUUAAUUCAAAAAAUUUCAAAAUUCUUUGUAUGAAUUCAUAUCGAGAAUUAAUCAGCUUGACUCUCAUAUUCUAAAAAGGUUCACAUAAAUUGAAACUGAGACGUAAUUUAUGUGAAUUAAGCACAGCACAAUGUAGAAGACAUUAUUAAAGAAGUAUCUAAAAUACUUAUUUUUAAUAAUUUAACUUUUUAAAAUGAAGGUCACAAAAUUAAGAGUAGAGUAGAAUGCUUGUCCUCUGUUUAACAAUUUGUCUUCUUAAAUGACACGAUCGAACAAAUCAAUACUAGUCGGAAUCUGCAAAUUUCUCCGAUGUAGGUUCUAGGCUUCAUGAGUGGCUAGUACCUUUGUUUACUUUUUUUGUAUCUUAAUAGGCUUGUUUUAGGGCUUUUUCUAUGGGUAGGGUGUAACCCGGUCAUUAUCCACAUACAGAACUCACACAGUGUGAGUCAUAUUCAACAUCCAGUAAAAACUAGUACACACCAAGUAGGGGUGUUCGUCGGUCGGUACGAUUACGGUUUUUCUCCCUCCCAAUAAUGAGUGAGUCAAUUGUUUUUUUGGCUCUUUACAAAUUUAUUUUUAGUUUUAUGAUCCUAUUUUUUUUUAUACAUGAGAAAUUUACUUUUACAUGUCACAGAUCUGCCUUUUAUACGUAAGAAAUAUAAAAAAGUCAUUUUAAUACAUUUGAAAUUGUAAAGGAAUACGAUAUACAAAUAGCACGUAGCAAAGUAUUAAAUGUUGAUAAAUUUUAUUGAUCUCCAUCUCUCUGCGUUCAGAUGGUGCCAUGGCGUGGUCUUUGUCACACUCUUGAAUAUAUAGGCUUGCAUUCUCUUACUUUGAAUAUUUGUAGAGUUCCUAAAAUUUCACAACCAAAAUUAUUAACUUAAAUCCAUCCAGUUUAGAAGUCUUAGAAGUUAUAUUUUAUAACGUGAGGUCCCAUGGAAGGCAAGGAAUACCUUUCAUACUAUAUAAUUUAUCUUGGAAAAUUAAUCUUCCACCAAAACUAUGACUAAGCUUUCCUACGUAAAAUAAAGGCCCUACCAAUUACUCUUUUAUUAAUCUUGAUAUGAUGAAGAAUUAUAUGUAUCCCUAGCCUUUUAAGAUAGUUUAUUUGCUGUUCAAAUAUAGCUAACAUUGAAGAUUGAAUUUAAGUAUUACAUGAUAGGGUACAAGUGGUGGGUGAAAUUCAACAAUUAGUCAAUUUUUGGUGGGACAGUUGCAAUCAAAGAAGUUGUAAAAACCUUGACUUUGGCAUCCACUAAUGUAUAUGCCGACUACAUCAGUAGACUACUAGGGUAAGACAAGGUUAAUUGAAAAAAUUAAGUUGACCUAAAUUUAGAAAAUUAUCAUUCAAAUGGACACAAUUAUAUAUAAGGGAGCCGCCAAUUAAUGCUUGUCUAAAAUUACGAUGUAGAGAAGUUCUUUGAAGUUUUACUGUGACAUACACACGAUCUUCUCAUUCUCUUAAUUAAUUCGAUUCUCUUUUAUGUAGUUUGUUUAGUAUAAUUAAUUAACGCAAGUAGUUAUACUAUUUCUCUUAUCAAGCUACAUAAAAUUCAGUUACAAGUAGCUUAUGACAUCAAGAAAGAAUUACUGCAACCUACAAAUGAUAAUUAACCUGUGGGUAAAAUUAGUUGUGGGAAAUAGUGAACCUAACUCCCCAUGCAUACGUGAAGACAAAAUUAUAUAAUUUUUAACUAAUGUAGGGUAUCCAAUUUAAAAUAUGAAAGAUAAAAAACAAUUGGGAUAUAUGAGGACACUGACCAUUGUCAAUCCAUUGUGGAUUUAAAAAAAAAAAAUCAGACUACUAGUAUACGCUUUGAAAAGUAAACGCUGCAUAGAAAGUUUUUGAUAGUAGAAGGUGUCUCUUUUACUACGGAAAAAUUCUUGGUAGGGAACGCUUCCUCCCAAUAGGGUCCGAUGCGAUGCGAAUUCGGAUAUAGUCAGGCUUCAAUACAUAUAUCGAACAUCGGGCGGAAAACCAAAAAAUUAAAAAAAAAAGGUCUUUUUAAUUCUAGUACUAGUAUUAAAUCACUAUUAUAUGUUUGGUUUUGAGAAUUUAUUAAGUAGGAGACAACUGGAUUUUACCUAGCUCUUUUAGAAUUUAUUCCCCAAUAUUUUAAGUCUUUCUCGACUACAUGAUGCGUUAUCAAUUAGGGACUGGUAGCUGAAUACAUUAAAAUUUGACCGCUGUAUUGUCAAUUUAAUCGCGAUUUCCCAUUGCAAAUUAAAUCGAUUGAUUUAGGGAGUGCAAACUCAUGAAAACCAUGAUACUCUUUUAUUUACUUUGUAAUUAAGAACACAAAACAAAUUACCAGAAAAGAAAAAGAAACUACAUAGUAUGGAAAUUCUUCACUCUUCAAUUUUUAUAUAUGUAACUUAAUUAAAUCUUUGGAACAAGAUCUAUUUCCUCAAAUCUUGAAAAUCAUUGUAAUUAUAGGGUUGUAGAUAGGGGCGGAAGAGGAGAACAGGGAUAGUAAUUGAUGAAUGAAUUUAUCUAAUAUUGGGGCCAUCACUAAUGCAAAACUUAAAAGUGGGAAUUACAACAAAAACCAAAAACUUAAGGGUGGCCCUCCCCAUUUCCAUAAUAAUUUAGUCAACAUAUACUGAUCUAACUAUUACUAGUAGGUGAUACUUAUAGAUUAGCUAGCUGGAAGGAAGAAAAGAAUUCAUGAUUACAACUAUCUUAAUAGUAUCAUUUAUUCAUUUUUAAGAUGCCUUAAAUAUUCGCAUGUGUUUGGUGAACUCUACUAACUUUACUACAAACAUAAAAUACUUUUUUCAUUUAUAAUUUACAUUUACUCCCUCCCACCUUCAUUCCCUCCUGUCCAAGUCGUUUAUGAAUAAUUUCUUUUUAGGGAAUUAGGUCAAGAAAAAAUGGAAGAAAUAUAAUAGAAAUGACAUAACAAAAAUAUGAAUCUUCAACUUCCUGAACACAAAAUAAGUUAUCAAAAUAUGGAUAAAUACUGGCUAAAGUAUUUCAGAAGAAAUUAUUGAUAUCCCAAAUCUUUGAACCUGAUCAUCGACGGAAGAUCUAGAGGUUUAAGUUCUCUAGACAAAGUUAUGAAUAUUUUCUAAAGCGGUAGCAGAGUUAUAUAAUCUAAUAUCUACUUCGAGCUCAAGUCAAUUUGUAGUAUAUUUUUACCUCACCAUUUCUUGUAAAUAUUACUAAAUUUUUUCUUGUUAAAAUCCAUGGAAAUGCAGUGGUUUAACUAAUGUACAUAUUGUUACGUAUGGAGUGAUUACUUUGGGAAAAUGGAUAAAAUAUGGAUGAAAAGCUAAAUUUUAUCAACUAUAAGGUCUUAAAGAUAAUGACUUGGAAUAUGGAGAGAAAAAAAGUGGUCCUAAGAAACUUCAUUUUUCAUGUGAGACUAUGACAACUAAUUAUACAUUAGGUUUUGAGCAUUAAUUGUCCUAGUAAUAGUUUUCAUAUUUAACCAAAAUACCUUCUUGAGUCAAAGAACAACAGGAACCUAUUUCUGAAGGAAAAAGAUUUCACCUUGUUCUAGCUCUUAAAUCUUUUAUUAGUUUCUUAGACGUUGGUGCAAGUCGUUUUAUUUAUUUAUGUUUACUUUUGAUGUUCAAAAAAAGUUUUGUGUUAUUUCGUUUUUUGUUUUUGGGGGGUUUUAGGGGAGGGGUGGUAUUGUGUUGUUNNNNNNNNNNNNNNNNNNNNNNNNNNNNNNNNNNNNNNNNNNNNNNNNNNNNNNNNNNNNNNNNNNNNNNNNNNGUUGUUAUUUCUUUUUUUUUGGGGGGUUUUGGGGGGGGGGUAGGAAAUCUGUUUUGAGCUUGCAGCACACAUGAGAAUUUUAUUCUAAUUAGUCUUAUAAUACUAAUUAACAUCGAAAGUGCUUAUUUUCAAACUUUAUCUCUCUAGACUUCUUUACGGUUGAUAAUUGGAUAAGCCCAUAUGGAGCCCAAUCAUAUGCAAUCACAUUGGGCCUAUGUGCGCUUAUGGGUGGAGGGCCUGGGAUUCUUUUCCACGAAUACGUCCUGAAACUUGAAAGAAAAUUUUAGGAAAAAUACACUGUAUAGCCACUCUGAAUAUAAUAGCCGAAAAAUAUUUUUUUUUUGUACAUAUAAAUUUUAUACAGUUUUUUGGUUAUCAAAUAUAAAUAAUUUUUGGCACGGGACUAAAAGUUAAAAAGAUCCAAAAUUUUACUGAAUGUUAAUUUGUGGAUCUGUUUAUUUGUUAAAAACAUGCUAAAACGGUAUAAAUAAUUUUUAUUUUGAAAUAAAUCAAAAGUGAUGCUAUUUAUGUGGAUAGUCUUAAAUAAAGGAGCAACCGCUAAAAAUCUCAAAUUUUGUCAGUUGUCCCUUUUUGUAUCAGGCACUUUUUUUUUUUGGGUGAGUAAACUAUUUUAUUUACCAAUAGCAAAUAUGUACAAGUAUGAAACAAAAACAAUUGGCUUUGGACAGGCUCCAAAUCAGAACAUCACUACUACUGCUACUUCUUUUACAAUUGAUGGACCUUUUAGACCUCGAUCUAAAGAUCCUUUUUUGAGAAAUCUGAAAAUCUUAUGGUAAAAACGUUAGACCGCGAUCUAAAAUUUUGGUAAAUUAUGAAAUGAUAGACCAUAUCCUAAUUAUUUUAUGAGUAAAUUAAAACUUACAUGUGGAAACAUUAUAUUCGAAUAUAACCUUGACUUAAUAGGUAUUUUCCAAGGGCCCAAUAUUGGCACAAUUAUUUGAAAUAGAGCCAAAAUCUAAAUAAUGACAUUAAAAGAUGACAUUUGCGUAAACCAACUGAGUACGUGCCAAAAUCUUAGGGUACGCGCUUCGCGCGUGUACCAAAUUAAUGAGUACAUGAUUUAAAAAUUAACAUAAAUAUUAUUAACCGAUAUAUUUAAGUUAUAAAAUAAAAUUUAAACAAAAAAUUAUAAGUUUUUGAAAAUAACGAAUGUAAUCCCAUUUGUGUAACUCAAUGAAAGAAAAAUAUUUCCGCUCACAUAAAUCCUUGAAUAUCUUAUUAUGAUUUCUGAGUACUUCAAAAUAUCUUAUGAGAAUUUUUAUAAUUUUUAUGACCUAAUACUAAAAACAAACAAGUAACGAAAAUAUAUUUUUAUUACAAUUUGUUCUAUAUAAUAGCCAAUUUUCAAAAAGGAAUUAUAUUGAAAUUAAUCUAUUCAAAACGAUGGGACAAUUGAAUAAACAGAAAGAAAAACAUUGGUUCUAACCUAAAUAAUAAAUUGGAAGAUCGUGGUUUUGUUAGAAUUCAAAUUUUAAGUGCAAACAAUUUUUUAAAAUAUUAUUCUAUCCAAUUAUAUAUCGACAAGGAGAUGCUUGACGGCUAACUUGGUGCUCUGUUUAUUAAUCUCUCUUUAAUUGGGAUUAUUUAUUAUCUUUUCCAUCCCAAAUUGGUUAUUCAAUUUCAAUUUUCCUAAUUAUUAUGAGAAAGAUAUUCUAUGUGAAGUAACCAUUUUUUAUAUGAAAACAAGCACUUAUAAUUUGUUAGAAGUCAAGAAUGUCGAUGUAAUGUUCCUUCUUCUAUAGUAAACAUUAGGAAAGAUUAAAGUUUCUAAAUAUUAGGAGUUUUUACAUAGAACAAAUAAGGAAAAAUUUAACCUGUCAAAGUUUUAAUUGAUAUAAAAGUCCUAAAUAUUAUAAAAAUAAUGGUAUAACAAUGACAAUUUUAUCUAAUGUGAAAUUCAUUUUUAAAAAGAUAAAAAAGGUGAAUAAUAUUUCACUAAGGGGUUUCGUGCUUUUAAUAUAGUACUAGUUUCUAUGUACAUGCGUUGCACGUCAAUAAUGACACGUGAUAAAAAAGAUAUUGUAAUGAAAAUCUACUGGAAUGACACAAGACUGAUAAAUCCCUAAUCUUUUUCUAUUUUGAUUUUUUUAUGAAUUAUUGAAUGAGUAUACAACUUGAAUUUAUCAGUAAAGCUCAAAGUCUCAAAGGCUCAAACUGUUCAACCCUUUGAUCCUUAUAUACAAUCCUAAAUGAAAACAAUGUUCACUACAAAGAAGAAGAAAAUAAUAGAGAACUAAUAAUAAUUUUGGAGAAGUUUGCCGAAUUUGUUACUUUUUUCUAAAACAGCACAACUUAAAACUAAUUCUCCUUCAAAUAUGUAUGAUGAAGAAUGUGGAAUAGUGUCUUCCUCUCCUCCUUUCUCUAAGUACAUUCGUGCAAUACGUUUAUAUGCAUUGAAUGGUAAAUAUGGUUUUAAUAAAAAAAAUAAAAGGAGAUCAAGUUACCCAUACCGAAAAUAUAAGUUCAAGUAUGACAAGAAAAAAA
Molecule: long non-coding RNA, 27549 nt
Filed under: Nicotiana tabacum (common tobacco)
Lineage: Eukaryota; Viridiplantae; Streptophyta; Magnoliopsida; Solanales; Solanaceae
Description: long non-coding RNA (NTAB_LNC001216)
Source: RNAcentral